Pelobates cultripes (western spadefoot toad) is the source of this 111-nucleotide non-coding RNA. Lineage: Eukaryota; Metazoa; Chordata; Amphibia; Anura; Pelobatidae. The record is from the annotation of a GenBank genome assembly.
CUCCAGCAGACCCUCCCUCCCAGACCCUCCUACUUCCUGGACAGCAUCCAUUGUUGAAACAUGGAUGCUGUCCAGGAAGUAGGAGGGUCUGGGAGGGAGGGUCUGCUGGAG